GUAACGCGUGGGAACCUUCCCUGUGGUACGGAAUAGCUCCGGGAAACUGGAAUUAAUACCGUAUACGACCCUUUUUGGGGAAAGAUUUAUCGCCAUAGGAUGGGCCCGCGUCGGAUUAGCUUGUUGGUAGGGUAAUGGCCUACCAAGGCAACGAUCCGUAGCUGGUCUUAGAGGAUGAUCAGCCACACUGGGACUGAGACACGGCCCAGACUCCUACGGGAGGCAGCAGUGGGGAAUAUUGGGACAAUGGGCGAAAGCCUGAUCCAGCCAUGCCGCGUGAGUGACGAAGGCCUUAGGGUUGUAAAACUCUUUUGGCGGGGACGAUAAUGACGGUACCCGCAGAAUAAGCCCCGGCUAACUUCGUG
This 365-nucleotide ribosomal RNA is filed under the name uncultured bacterium. RNAcentral's name for it is "bacterial SSU rRNA". It matches the Rfam family "Bacterial small subunit ribosomal RNA", at positions 110 to 507 of the family's 1533-position model. The record is from RNAcentral.